CCUACGGGAGGCAGCAGUGAGGAAUAUUGGUCAAUGGGCGCGAGCCUGAACCAGCCAAGUAGCGUGCAGGAUGCCGGCCCUAUGGGUUGUAAACUUCUUUUAUAAAGGGAUAAAGUGAGUCACGUGUGCCUUUUUGCAUGUACUUCAUGAAUAAGGACCGGCUAACUCCGUGCCAGCAGCCGCGGUAAUACGGAAGGUCCGAGCGUUAUCCGGAUUUAUUGGGUUUAAAGGGAGCGUAGAUGGCUUGUUAAGUGAGUUGUGAAAGUCUGCGGCUCAACCGUGAAAUUGCAGUUGAAACUGGCAGUCUUGAGUACAGUAGAGGUGGGCGGAAUUCGUGGUGUAGCGGUGAAAUGCUUAGAUAUCACGAAGAACUCCGAUUGCGAAGGCAGUUCACCGGACUGCAACUGACACUGAGGCUCGAAGGUGUGGGUAUCGAACAGGAUUAGAUACCCGUGUAGUC
This 460-nucleotide ribosomal RNA is filed under the name uncultured bacterium. RNAcentral describes it as "partial 16S ribosomal RNA". It matches the Rfam family "Bacterial small subunit ribosomal RNA", at positions 338 to 795 of the family's 1533-position model. The record is from RNAcentral.